Molecule: ribosomal RNA, 237 nt
Filed under: uncultured bacterium
Lineage: Bacteria
Description: partial 16S ribosomal RNA
Rfam family: Bacterial small subunit ribosomal RNA
Source: RNAcentral
UGAGCAAUCUGCCCUUCUCAUCGGAAUAAGCGUUGGAAACGACGUCUAGUGCCGAAUACGACCUCCUUUCGCAUGAUCGGAGGUGGAAAGCUCCGGCGGAGAAGGAUGAGCUCGCGGCCUAUCAGCUAGUUGGUGUGGGUAAUGGCCCACCUAGGCGACGACGGGUAGCCGGCCUGAAAGGGUGACCGGCCACACUGGGACUGAGACACGGCCCAGACCUCCGUACGGGAGGNAGCG